UGAAAGUCCAUGGUACACACAUGUCAGCAACAUUUCUUUGGAAAAAUCACAUAAAAAGGGUCCCAAGAUGUAGUCCACCGAGACAGUAGAAUUGUUCUUAUCUGAUAGACCUUGUCAUCAGCAAAAAAAGGUGUUUUGUGAAUGGAAGCAGUGGGUUGAAGUUUAUCUGGAGCAGGGCAUUGUGGCACACCG
Long non-coding RNA from Triticum aestivum (bread wheat), 192 nucleotides. RefSeq lists it as uncharacterized. Lineage: Eukaryota; Viridiplantae; Streptophyta; Magnoliopsida; Poales; Poaceae. The record is from RefSeq and is a predicted model, not a curated record. The transcript has 3 exons.